RNAcentral lists this ribosomal RNA (356 nucleotides) under uncultured bacterium. RNAcentral describes it as "bacterial SSU rRNA". It matches the Rfam family "Bacterial small subunit ribosomal RNA", at positions 8 to 353 of the family's 1533-position model. The record is from RNAcentral.
AGAGUUUGAUCAUGGCUCAGGAUGAACGCUAGCGACAGGCCUAACACAUGCAAGUCGAGGGGCAGCGAAGAGGUAGCAAUACCUUUGUCGGCGACCGGCGCACGGGUGAGUAACACGUAUGCAAUCCACCUGUAACAGGGGGAUAACCCGGAGAAAUCCGGACUAAUACCCCAUAAUAUGGGCGCUCCGCAUGGAGAGCCCAUUAAAGAGAGCAAUUUUGGUUACAGACGAGCAUGCGCUCCAUUAGCCAGUUGGCGGGGUAACGGCCCACCAAAGCGACGAUGGAUAGGGGUUCUGAGAGGAAGGUCCCCCACAUUGGAACUGAGACACGGUCCAAACUCCUACGGGAGGCGGUA